AUACGUAGGGUGCAAGCGUUACUCGGAAUUACUGGGCGUAAAGCGUGCGUAGGUGGUUGUUUAAGUCUGUCGUGAAAGCCCUGGGCUCAACCUGGGAAUGGCGAUGGAAACUGGGCGACUAGAGUGUGGCAGAGGGUAGUGGAAUUCCUGGUGUAGCAGUGAAAUGCGUAGAGAUCAGGAGGAACAUCCGUGGCGAAGGCGACUGCCUGGGCCAACACUGACACUGAGGCACGAAAGCGUGGGGAGCAAACAGGAUUAGAUACCCUGGUAGUCCACGCCCUAAACGAUGCGAACUGGAUGUUGGGUGCAAUUUGGCACGCAGUAUCGAAGCUAACGCGUUAAGUUCGCCGCCUGGGGAGUACGGUCGCAAGACUGAAACUCAAAUGAAUUGACGGGG
Molecule: ribosomal RNA, 397 nt
Filed under: uncultured bacterium
Lineage: Bacteria
Description: partial 16S ribosomal RNA
Rfam family: Bacterial small subunit ribosomal RNA
Source: RNAcentral